UGAAGUCACAAAGACUCACCAACUCCACCAGAUCAAGCCAAGCCUUCCUCCAUCUCCUGUCCAUAUGCAGGCCCCUGGGGGCUGGUGCAUUUUUGUAGACUCUCUUUUUGGGGAUAAGGGAAGAAGAUAUUCUGAGACCCUGAGACUGGGCCCUACAUCUUAGUACUUAUCCACAGUUAUGCUGUGGUGAAGCUGCUUUUCCGAGCGUGUUCCCUCUGCUCCAGAGACUAACCAUCCCAGUGGACACGUCCAGCCCUUUCCAGGGAAAUAUGGAGAAAUUAAAUGAAGCUUAAAAUCUCUGUAGAAGGGCAAAGAAGACAUGACAGGGAAGAAUUGUUUUAAAGUCAUCACCACUCUUCUUCAAAAUAUGGAACCACUCCAUAAGAUAUGUCUAAAAUCAGAAGAAUCCCAUGUUUUUAACUCCUAGAAGUCAGCGCUGGGUCUCUGAGGUUGCCCUUGCUGUUCCAUCACACUCAAUGGGCUGUUAUCUAAAGUGAUUCAAGUAUGGAGGAAGAAAAAACAUCUUUGAGUUGGAAAGAGCAGAAAUAAAGGGUAACAGAGAAACUACAACUCAUGCAAAAGGAGCAGCAGCACGUUACAGUGAAGGGAGCCCCGAGCUGCAAAGCCCUGGGGUGGAGGGCCAGCUCUAUUCUUUGGUAACUGUGUG
Molecule: long non-coding RNA, 667 nt
Filed under: Equus asinus (donkey)
Lineage: Eukaryota; Metazoa; Chordata; Mammalia; Perissodactyla; Equidae
Description: lncRNA (ENSEASG00005023832.1)
Source: RNAcentral